RNAcentral lists this ribosomal RNA (253 nucleotides) under uncultured bacterium. RNAcentral describes it as "partial 16S ribosomal RNA". It matches the Rfam family "Bacterial small subunit ribosomal RNA", at positions 524 to 776 of the family's 1533-position model. The record is from RNAcentral.
UACGUAGGGCGCAAGCGUUGUCCGGAAUCAUUGGGCGUAAAGAGCUCGUAGGCGGCCUGUUGCGUCCGCUGUGAAAUCCCGGGGCUUAACCCCGGGCGUGCAGUGGAUACGGGCUGGCUGGAGGCAGGCAGGGGAGAACGGAAUUCCCGGUGUAGCGGUGAAAUGCGCAGAUAUCGGGAGGAACACCAGUGGCGAAGGCGAUCAUCUGGGGUUGUUCUGACACUGAGGAGCGAAAGCUAGGGGAGCAAACGGG